Molecule: ribosomal RNA, 253 nt
Filed under: uncultured bacterium
Lineage: Bacteria
Description: partial 16S ribosomal RNA
Rfam family: Bacterial small subunit ribosomal RNA
Source: RNAcentral
UACGGAGGGUGCAAGCGUUAUCCGGAAUCAUUGGGUUUAAAGGGUCCGCAGGCGGGAUUAUAAGUCAGUGGUGAAAUCUCAUAGCUUAACUAUGAAACUGCCAUUGAUACUGUAGUUCUUGAAUGUGGUCGAAGUGGGCGGAAUAUGACAUGUAGCGGUGAAAUGCAUAGAUAUGUCAUAGAACACCGAUAGCGAAGGCAGCUCACUAGGCCAUAAUUGACGCUCAUGGACGAAAGCGUGGGGAGCAAACAGG